This 337-nucleotide ribosomal RNA is filed under the name uncultured bacterium. RNAcentral's name for it is "partial 16S ribosomal RNA". It matches the Rfam family "Bacterial small subunit ribosomal RNA", at positions 338 to 692 of the family's 1533-position model. The record is from RNAcentral.
CCUACGGGUGGCAGCAGUGGGGAAUAUUGGACAAUGGGGGAAACCCUGAUCCAGCGACGCCGCGUGAGUGAAGAAGUAUUUCGGUACGUAAAGCUCUAUCAGCAGGAAAGAAAAUGACGGUACCUGACUAAGAAGCCCCGGCUAACUACGUGCCAGCAGCCGCGGUAAUACGUAGGGGGCAAGCGUUAUCCGGAUUUACUGGGUGUAAAGGGAGCGUAGACGGCAGCGCAAGGCUGGAGUGAAAUGCCGGGGCCCAACCCCGGCACUGCUCUGGAGACUGGGAAGCUGGAGUGCAGGAGAGGUAAGGGGAAGUUCUGGGGGAGCGGGGAAAGGCGGA